RNAcentral lists this ribosomal RNA (497 nucleotides) under uncultured bacterium. RNAcentral describes it as "partial 16S ribosomal RNA". It matches the Rfam family "Bacterial small subunit ribosomal RNA", at positions 28 to 507 of the family's 1533-position model. The record is from RNAcentral.
GAUGAACGCUGGCGGCGUGCCUAAUACAUGCAAGUCGAGCGAACAGACGAGGAGCUUGCUCCUCUGACGUUAGCGGCGGACGGGUGAGUAACACGUGGAUAACCUACCUAUAAGACUGGGAUAACUUCGGGAAACCGGAGCUAAUACCGGAUAAUAUAUUGAACCGCAUGGUUCAAUAGUGAAAGACGGUUUUGCUGUCACUUAUAGAUGGAUCCGCGCCGCAUUAGCUAGUUGGUAAGGUAACGGCUUACCAAGGCAACGAUGCGUAGCCGACCUGAGAGGGUGAUCGGCCACACUGGAACUGAGACACGGUCCAGACUCCUACGGGAGGCGGCAGUAGGGAAUCUUCCGCAAUGGGCGAAAGCCUGACGGGGCAACGCCGCGUGAGUGAUGAAGGUCUUCGGAUCGUAAAACUCUGUUAUUAGGGAAGAACAAAUGUGUAAGUAACUAUGCACGUCUUGACGGUACCUAAUCAGAAAGCCACGGCUAACUACGUG